RNAcentral lists this transfer RNA (73 nucleotides) under bacterium. Its description in RNAcentral is "tRNA-Pro". It matches the Rfam family "tRNA". From Rfam's summary of the family: Transfer RNA (tRNA) molecules are approximately 80 nucleotides in length. Their secondary structure includes four short double-helical elements and three loops (D, anti-codon, and T loops). The record is from RNAcentral. RNAcentral also lists the same sequence under 2 other names.
CGGAGCGUAGCUCAAUUGGUAGAGUGUUCGGUUUGGGUCCGAGAGGUUGCGGGUUCAAGUCCUGUCGCUCCGA